Lactuca sativa (garden lettuce) is the source of this 5838-nucleotide long non-coding RNA. RefSeq lists it as uncharacterized. The record is from RefSeq and is a predicted model, not a curated record. Lineage: Eukaryota; Viridiplantae; Streptophyta; Magnoliopsida; Asterales; Asteraceae.
UUAUAUUUUUGACAUUCACUAUAUUUUCCGUUCCUUGAAACCACCGACCAUGCACCGCACCGCCCCUAUCAUCCAAUUUCGUUCCUCCACCGCCUCAUGUAUUACUCUUUUAUUCCAUUUUGUGGCAAAUGGAGUCGGUUCCUUCAUAGAACUCCCAACAGCAGAUGUAGCGACGAUUACUUCGUCAAUUUUGCUUUGGUCUUUCUCUAUUCGAUCACGUCUUCAAUUUCCAACAAACCACCGGUCAAAGGCCAGAAGAUCCGUCUAAUACACGAAGGGGUUUCUACUGAUUUAAGCCCUAGAUCGAUUGAAGUGUUUUAGUAAGAAAAAUACAAUUUCUUUUAUCUCUGUUCCGAUCAACACUCGCCUACGACGUCACCGUUGACUACGUGCUCGAACGCUGUCUUCACCGAUACAUCGGUGACAUGCACACCUUUUAUCGACGACGCGUAUAACAAAAACAAUUUGUUUUGGUGUUUGAUUUGGGCUUCCACGUUCUCUGGUCCAACAUCUGUUAUAAGGUUCUUACAAGUUCUAUUCAAAAUUUUCUCUUCAUCGAGUUCUGCUGCUAUCGUUGUUGCCCAAGAAAGCCCUAACAUCAAUUUCUUAGAGAUGAAAGAAGCAAAGGAAGAUGAUCCAGCACCAAAAAACACGUGGGCUAAGUGGAGACUUGGAGCUGUUAUCAGAGUUGUUGUUUUAACAGCUUUCUCAAUUGAUUUGUUAAAGUUACUUCUUGAAUGUUGGAGCUAAUUGAUGCAUGCAUUGGAAGAGUCAAACAGUCACCCUUUUCAGGUGAAAUGAGACUCUUCAAAGUCUACCUAAAUGGGAAGAGAAGUAGAUGUUCAAACAGUAUGUUUCAAAUGUAUCAGAAUCUCUGACCUAAAUACCCUACAGAUUCAUGGUCACCCAUAACACUACCACUUUUCCUCAUAAAAAGAUAGGAGAAUACGAAAGGUGAUGAGGCAAAAUCAUAAAGCUAAAAAAGAAGCAGAUUCUAAAGCUUGAAAUACUACCUGCAAGCCGUCAAAAAGAAGCAUAAAUUUUUAUUUCCUUUAUAAUUUUUUUAAGCGUAUAAUGUCUUAUAUGAAUUUUUUACUACCUAAUUGUUUUGUUGCUUUUCUUUUGCUGUAAUAGGCCAUAAAGACGAUCAUUUUGUGAAGAAACAAUGGGUAAAAGUUGUCAUCUUGGUGCUGUCAUACUCGACCUUCUAUUUGAGUUUAGUCUCCUGCUUCAAUGUAUUUCUGAGCAGAGGACAAUGAUAACAUAUGGUGAUGCAGAUGAUUUUUUAGGUUUUGGUCGAGACAUUGGUAUGUGUUCAAACAAGAAGAUGAGUGUCAGGGUGUAAUUUUAUUUAGGAUGGUGGGGUAGGUUUUUUUUUUUAAUCUUCGACUAUUAAUUUAAAGGUGAAUCGAAUUAUUUAUUUUAUAUAUUGUUAACUAAUACGUACCCGGCAAAGCGGGGUUCCCCAUCUAACCGUGGUCUUAACCGAACCCCGCGGAGCGGGGUUUCCCCACUAGUUUUCUUUAAAAAUCUUAUUUACUUAAUUUAUCAUGAUUCCAUGUUACAAAUCAAUAACCAAUUUUAUAAACACCCUAGUUUAGUUAAAAACAACUUGUGCAUACUUAAGCUUCAAGGUAUGAAAGUUAGUACGGAUGUUUUGAAAUUUUUAUAAUGGGUUACAAUCUUAGGUCACACAAAUUCUUUAUAAAUAAAUUUGUUUAAUUCAUUUGAUUGACGGAUGUAGUAUAGAAUAAGUGAGGUGCAUGGACCUAGGGGUGUUGUUCGGUUAUAUUUUUCGGGUUUCGAGUAUUGUUUGGUUAUAUUUUUUGUGUUAAUCAGGUAUUAUUUGUCUGGGAAUAUAAUCGAUACCGGAACCGAAUUACAAUUCGGGUUUUUGGUUUUGGAUUUUGGGUUUUCGGGUAUUCGAUUCGGAUUUUUUGGGGUACAUACUUGAAUUUCUAUUUAAAAAUUUAUAAAUUGCAUUUAUUAGCUUAAUUUUUUGUAAAAUUACUUUUAAAUGCCCACUUUAAACUAGGGAUGAGAUUUAAAACUAGUAAACCAAAAUCGGUAGCCCCGGAAUAUGUAGAACUGUAACGUCCCAAAAAUACCAAUAAAAAUUUUAUUUUUAAACCAUCAAAUCCAUACAACCAUUUGUUCUAAAACCAAUCAGAGUAAAUGUAACACCCGUUUUCAGGUACUUUUCGUUCCAGACCUUUAUGUUUUAAAUUGUUGCAAAUGAGGUCCUUACGUUGGAAGUACAAGGCUUUACGUUGGGCGUAAGCCAGCAGACUUAUGGUAGGUCAAAAGUAGAGUAAGUUGGGCAUAUAUGUGAGUACGUUGGGUGUACUCGUGCAUUCUCUAAACCCUAAUCUUUUGGUUGUGACCUUUAUUUAAGCAUCAUAAUCCAGCUUGGACCUUCUCAUACCUAGCCUCCAUCCCUAUAAACCCUAAAGUCGAAACCAUAGCCUUUGUUGUUGGAUUAGUGUCUAAGUCCAUAACUAUUUUGGUAUGUACUUGACCCGAUGGUGCAUGGUCCUUUUGGGUUGCCUUCACCAAAGCAACUUGAUAUGAUGAAUUAUGGAGAGAAAUGAUUAAAUAUGAUUUAUUAAUAUGUUAUGAGAAUAAUAUAUUAAAGGAGAAAUCAUAUUUUUUAAUUAAUAUUAGUCAAUAAUUAAUAAGAAUUAAGUUUGUGGCUAAAAGAGAAUAAUUAAACUUAAGGGACUUGAACUGUUAAUUGUAUAAUAGUUGAAUAUUGAGCUAAUGGACUCCAUAUUAAAGGGGUGGACGAAUUCUGUGGGGAAACCCAUUAGAAAUCGUCCUAAGGCCUUUAAGGAAGGAGUUCAUGGGUUGCUUAGGGCUUAAGCAUCUAAAUUAGGGUUUCCUUGUUAGAUAACCCUAAUAGCCUCACUAUUUAAAGAGCCCUUAUGCCUCAAAAACGUGAAGAACUUAUUCCUUAGGGUUUCCACACGUUUUGGGCAGCCUCCUUCUCUUCUCUUCUUCAUCCUCUUGCUCUUGGUGGUUGUGAACCAUUAGAGGAGUGACAUUUGUGACUCUAAGAUUCUAAAGUCAUUACAAGGAGGAUUUGAGAUUGUUAUUGCUACAUAACAAUCAAGGUAUGAUCUAAACCCUAAUUCAUAUGUUAUAUUGAUUAUCAUAUACUAGAUCUAGGGUUUAUAGUCUUGGAUGAAUUGCAUGUACAAUAGAGAAACCUAUAUCCAAGCAUUAGGGUUUGUAUGAGCACAUAGGAUGUUCUUAUGGCUAAAACCCACCAGUGGUAUCAGAGCCAUGAUUGGUUUCUAUUGUGUUGAUGCCUUGUAUGUUUGUUUAAGUUGCAAAAUUGAGUUUUGAGCUCCCUACCUGAUGAACUCGGCGAGUACCACAGUGUACUCGGCGAGUACAGUGUGGUACUCGGCGAGUUCGAGCGUCAGAUGGAGCUAUUUUCGGGAUUUCUUGUUGUUUUACUCGUGGAUAAUUGCCUUAUCUGUUUUAGAUCAUUAAAAUCCGAUUUUAUACAUAUUUAUGAGUAUAUCCUUGAUUAAACAAAAGAUAAUUACCAAUUAAUUAGAUAAUAACUUAUAAUAACUUCCUUAUAUGAUAAAGUUUGAUUAUUUGUAUUAAUUGGGUAACUUACUUUGCAAGAAAUUGAAAUUAUGUCAAAUAUAGAUAAUGAUAAAAUAAAUUGUUUAAUUAAUAUUAUUUGAUCCUUGUGUUAUGAAAAGUUUCAAUUUUUCCCCUUUAGGUUUUAUAGUUUAAAUUUGAACUCAAAAGUUUUGUUUUGAAAUUUAAAUAGUUGAAACCCUAAUGUUUUGAAAAAGGUUUCAAAACUUGCCCUCAAGUUUUGGAAUUUAAAUUUUGAUUAAAAAGUUUGAUUUUGAAAUAUUUAAAUUCUAAACUCUAAUGUUUUGAAAUGUUUCAAAACUUUCCCUCAAGUUUUGGAAUUUAAAAGUUGAUUAAAAGUUUAAUUUAGGAAUGUUAAAUUCUAAAACCCUAGUAUUGUUUUGAAAAUUGUUCAGAUCACACCCUUAUGGUUUUAUUAAUUAAUUAAGGUGUAUAAUUAAAAGAGGUUUAAUAAAUCCAUAAAGUUUUGGUUUACAAUUUAAAUUGAAUUAAAAGUAUAAUUGUUAAAUUUGACCACCUAGUAUUUUAAAAAGUGUAAAAUACACCCUAUACUAUAUAUAACAUUAAAAGUCUAACAUUAUAUAUAUAUAUAUAUAUAUAUAUGAGUAAAAGUCAGUCUUACCGUUAGUAGGCCUCAUUCACGAAGCUGGUCUGUAAGGGUGUUUAAGGAAAUUGCCUAUAAAAUGGCGAUUGAAUGGGUAUCCACUCUUACCCAUCGCACUCUUGACUAGUGGAGGGUCGUUAGCCGAACGGGUAGGAUAGGACGAAACCUUCCAUUAUAAGUAUAAUGAAGUACAAAAGUAACUAAAUGUUUUACAAAAUUCUCAAUCUUAGUUACUUUAGGCAAAAGUGAAUUGAUGCAAUUCCAUGAAAUUAUACUUUGUGCCCUUGCGAAGACGUUAGUGGAGCGUGUGUGGUUAACCGACACACUAAAUGGUUCUAAGCAAAGGUAGCAAAGGGUGACUCAAUGUUUGUCAUAGUUCGGUGGAGCGUGUGUGGUUUACCGGCACAUCGAAUAGGUGACUGUAACAUGUGAGGGCACCAUGUAGAUUUGCAUGGUCAUUCACACCCGCUUUGUGAUCCUCGGCAUCCCAGUCACAAACUAGAGGGGCAUAUCAAGAUUUAACAUGUCAUUGAAAUGUUCAAUGAAUCUCAAAGGAUCUAGGAGUUUUCAUAGAUUUAAAACUUAAAUUUCUUUUUUGUUUUUUUAAUGGUGGAAAUUAGUGAAUCGUCAUUCACUUACCUUCAAAUAUUCUGCAACUAGAUUACGGCAUCCCUUUUCUAGGUUGUAGCGUAUUGUGUUGGGUCCUAGCCUUAAUAUCUCAUUUGGGCUAUUUAUUAAGGACUCAAUCGAUCAACUAACUUGAAUUUGUUUUCUCCCGUUUUGUAGAUGUCAAAGUACGACAACUAUGGUCUUCCCAAAUCCCGUGGAACAAGAAUUCCACAUGAAGAUGAUAUUCCAUGAUUCGAUCGAGGAACAAGAAAUCAUGUUUCACUUCCUCCACUUCCUCCCGUUAUUCUCCCUAACCCACAAGAUCGAAGAAUUGAAAGGUUCAAUGUCACUAAAGCCCUAUUGGAAAUGAAACAUGAAGAUGGUAAACCCGUGUGUGCCCACGUUCUAGGAAUGAAAUCACACAUCAAUAGGUUGAUAAUGUUGGGUGCGUCAUUCCCGGAUAAGUUGGCUGUGAACCGGGUUCUGCAGUCACUUCCCGAAUCAUAUAAUGAGUUUAAAAGAAAGUAUUAUAUGAUGGAUCAUGACGAAAACCUUAUUGACCUAACUUACAUGCUCAUUGCUGCUGAAUCAGAGAUGAUUUGGCAAAGCAAUGGAGCAUAUUUGUUAGGAAAAUCAACCAACCAUGCUUCCGAGGACGUUCUAGGAGAACCGACCUGCGUUUGCUGCCAAGAGAAAGGGCGUUGGAUACAAGUCUGCCCUAAGAGCCUGAAGAGUCCAGAAGAUGGGAGAGUCAAAGAGUAUGGUUGUGCUUCAGGAUCAGUGAAAAGAGAGGAAGCUUGAUGAAAGAGAAAGAUGAAUCUAAUCAUGAAGAAAUGGAUCUCGAUCACAUGGACUCAAAGAUUAGAUUUGAUCUUAGAAAGUUAUGAUAGAGUUGUUAGGAAUAUUUGAUUCCAUAGUUUUUCAGUUGAUUUUGCAUUGUAAGGACAAAUGUUUUCCGCUGCUUUUAUGAACAAAAUAAAGUUUGUUUGACGUAUUUAUUUAUUUAU